Molecule: long non-coding RNA, 392 nt
Organism: Macadamia integrifolia
Lineage: Eukaryota; Viridiplantae; Streptophyta; Magnoliopsida; Proteales; Proteaceae
Exons: 3
Source: RefSeq, a predicted model, not a curated record
ACAAUUUCUCUUCUUCUACUUCUCCGCAUUUGUCUCCAUUUACAUCUCCAACUCCGGCCUCCUUCUCCCUCUCCUGCUCCAACCCUUAAUCCAUUGUUCACCCCAAUCCUCUCCCCUCCCAAUUCAUCAAGCAGCAGACCAGUGACCGGCGACCAGCAACCAGAGAGACCUGCGAGCAGUGAGCUACGACUUCAACCAUUGACAAGCUGCGAAUCUGAGUGCGGCGAAGGGCUCUCAUUUAGGUCUUUCUGAUACCUUUGCUGGUUUUCAUGGCAUAAAGUUCGGUGAGAUCAUCUCCAAUGAGUCAGGACCAAUAGGGGGAAGGGAAAAAACCCCUGAGAGAACUCUAAGUUGGAGGGGAGGGAGCCCUGAAAUGGAAGUUUUAGUAGGAC